RNAcentral lists this non-coding RNA (231 nucleotides) under Bacillus sp. (in: firmicutes). RNAcentral describes it as "Bacillus sp. T-box sequence". It matches the Rfam family "T-box leader". From Rfam's summary of the family: Uncharged tRNA acts as the effector for transcription antitermination of genes in the T-box leader family. T-boxes are found upstream of many aminoacyl-tRNA synthetase genes and some amino acid biosynthetic genes usually in Gram-positive bacteria. Lineage: Bacteria; Bacillati; Bacillota; Bacilli; Caryophanales; Bacillaceae. RNAcentral also lists the same sequence under 1 other name. The record is from RNAcentral.
UGCAAAGCAAUGAAAGGAAAUAAGUAGUGGAUGAUCUCCCUGUUCAAGAGAGCUGAUGGUGGUGCAAAUCAGUACAAAGAUCAACAUGAAUUACAAUCCUGGAGCUUCUUUUUCGUAGCAAGGAGAUAUUCUUGUGAAGGGAAAGACGGUCAUAUGAUCGUUAACAAAAUGGAGAGGUGAACAAGACUGUUCACAACUAGGGUGGUACCGCGAAAUCAAUUCGUCCCUACU